UCCUCCUGCCUCAGCCUCCCGAGUGCUGGGAUUACAGGCGUGCGCCACCAUGCCUGGCAUCUCUGGUGUUUCUGACAGGCGCUCUGUCCAUGGCAUUCCAGGGCCCAGACACAUCCUCCUGCACUGCAUCUCUGCAGACGAUUCCCUGGCUACCUUCCUUGUAAGUGGAGGUGGGCUGCCCGGCAUGCCACCCCACUGCACUGUUGCAGUCUCCUCAGCCUACCCCCUUGCCCCUGAACUGGACUUGGGGCUCUGCCCCACUUCCUCCUGACCCUCUGCGGUCUGCGUGUCCCAGUCCCACACCCGAGGGGCUUCCUGCAGGGGCCUCCUGGUGACGGUGCAGCCACAGCAGCAGAGUGCAUACUGCCAUCCCACGGGCGCUGAGGGCCAGGUCUGUACUGAGAGCAGCUGCCGGGGCCAAGGCCGCCUGCCCCUGCUGCGAGGCAGCCAUGUGACUCGGGGCCCACUCCCUCAGCCUGUCUGCUCAUCUCUCAAGUGCAGCGGUCACCACCAGACAUGUCUCCUGGAGGAAAUGACCUCACUACAGCACUUCCAUCAGCGUGUGCUGUUACACUCGCCACGCCUCCAGGAGCCCUGUGAGGUGGCAGUCAUUCCCUUGGCAGGAUGAAGACAUCCAUCACAAACUUAAAUACCGUACUGUUGAGCAAGAAGGAGCUGCAGGGGCUGCGCCCAAGCCAGCCUGAGCCUGUUCUGAGAAAGUCAGUCCUCUGCCCGGCACCACUGAAGCUGACCUGGAUUCAAGGUCACCCAGGGCUUCAGGAGCCCUAGGGGAACAGCCUGAGCUAGACACUACAGUGCCGAAGAAGCCAGCCUGGAAGGCACAGACCCUGGCCAGCUGAUGCCCAGGGACCUGCCUGCCACUGCGAAGUCUCCAGCUGCCGGCUGGGAGUGGCAGGAGGGGUGGAGAAACGACAAGCUGAGCAGACAGUGCCGAAAUCCAGUGCAAUCCAGGCACACGCAGGCAGCCCUGACUCACUUCCGAGGGCCGCUUCCUCUUCCUCUACCCACUCCCAAGCCCCCUCAUCCCGGCCCUGCCCAGGCUGGGUGCUUCUCAUCCCAAUGAAAGGCAACUAGCCUCCUACCUCCAAAGCUGAUGGUGGGAAACCUCACAUUCAUACGGCAUCCUGACCACCACCCAAGGGCCAGUGCUGUUUACCUUCGCCAGGAGCCACAUCCUACUGCUCAGCCUCUCACACUGGAGAAUGACGGUGAAGGAAACAGGGACGAUCUGCUUUAAAAACGAACUGCAAAGCAGAAGGUGUCACCUUGACUACGGGGAGGGGUCCCCCAACCUGCUGGCCCACAGGCAAAGCUCUUGGCAAGCCAGCCUCAUGGUAACAAACACACAGCCCUACACAAAACAAACUUUAUUGAAAGGUGGCUGAUGGGAAGCGAGAUCCAAAUUGGGGAAUCCUGCAUUCUAUUCCCAGAUCCAUCCCCAGUACCCCGUGACCCGCCCCAUCCAUAAAUGGAGGCUCUGCAUAAAAGCAGAGGGCUGUCUCUUUCAGCUCCCACAUCCGGCAGUUCCAGAAAACUCGUGGACUGAAAAAGUGUGGUCACCCAGAAAGCUGUUGACAAAGGAUUCUGCUAAACGAGAAAAUCGAAAGAUCACUGACAGCAGAAUGUGACUCCCAAACCGUGGGGCACAGCCGACGGGGGCAACAGUGUAGGGGCCCCUCCAGGCCACAGUGACCAGAUGCCAAGGCAAGGACGAAGCCACAGAGAUGCUUGGGCGGGCGGGCAAUGACGAGCGAGCCCUCAGCCCUCUUGGCAGAAGUGGCGUGGAAGUGUGUUCUGUGCCCAGCAGGCCCCAGGGGAGAUGCCAUCAGGGAGCCAUCCAAGGCCACCUUUGACCCAGCAAGAAAAAAGAUACCAUCGACCCUGCAGAGGGCAGAGCAGGAGAGGACGUACCCUUCAGGGGGCACCACAGGCAAUAAAGAAGAUGAGUAAUACAUACACACACCCAACCACCAACACGCUUAUUUUAAAACCAUCCCACCACUCAUCAGCAGAAAGGUUCCAGCCUUUGAUCUCCUUUCAGACAAAGCCUUAUUAGGGAGGCCAAACACACCCAAAGUUAAGACACUUGAUGAGAUUGCUAGUGCUUCCUGCAUCAAGAGACCCUCCCACCCUGACGGCCCCCUGAAAACCCACUUCACAGGCUCACCCCUGCAUUGACAAGCGCAUCCUUAAUUGGCCCAGGCCACGUAUUUCAAAACAUAUUACCCAACUACUUCUAAUUUCAAAUCACACCUAGAGUCAAACCAAACCACUACAAAAGAAGCCCUAAGGGUCUAUCAGCUAGCUCUGGGGGAGUGAGCUUUAUUAAAAAAAAAAAAAAAAAAAAA
Long non-coding RNA from Chinchilla lanigera (long-tailed chinchilla), 2369 nucleotides. RefSeq lists it as uncharacterized. Lineage: Eukaryota; Metazoa; Chordata; Mammalia; Rodentia; Chinchillidae. The record is from RefSeq and is a predicted model, not a curated record. The transcript has 2 exons.